GGUUGUGGCUCAGAGGUAGAGCGCUUACCUGGCAUGCAUGAGGCACUGAGUUCAAUCCUCAGCACUG
RNAcentral lists this transfer RNA (67 nucleotides) under Marmota monax (woodchuck). RNAcentral's name for it is "tRNA.Ala". It matches the Rfam family "tRNA", at positions 6 to 65 of the family's 71-position model. From Rfam's summary of the family: Transfer RNA (tRNA) molecules are approximately 80 nucleotides in length. Lineage: Eukaryota; Metazoa; Chordata; Mammalia; Rodentia; Sciuridae. The record is from RNAcentral.